GCGGAGGAAACCCGCUGAACUUAAGCAUAUCACUAAGCG
RNAcentral lists this ribosomal RNA (39 nucleotides) under Caulerpa sp. CSMCRI 3122009001. RNAcentral describes it as "partial 28S ribosomal RNA". The record is from RNAcentral. Lineage: Eukaryota; Viridiplantae; Chlorophyta; Ulvophyceae; Bryopsidales; Caulerpaceae.